This is a long non-coding RNA of Ipomoea triloba (trilobed morning glory), 1069 nucleotides long. RefSeq lists it as uncharacterized. Lineage: Eukaryota; Viridiplantae; Streptophyta; Magnoliopsida; Solanales; Convolvulaceae. The record is from RefSeq and is a predicted model, not a curated record. The transcript is spliced from 3 exons.
CCGUGCCUGAAAACAACAAAAUGAAUCAAGAGUAUUGAAGGCUUACUUUCAAGAGUAUUGAAGGCUUACUUUAAAGAAUAUUGAAGGCUUAUUUCAUGAUGAACAGGUUAGUGGUAGUUAUAAAACAGGUUAGUGGUAAAUUUUGGUAGGAAAUAUCCUAUAAAUACUACAUGCCCAGCAGUGAAAUCCAACAUUUACAUUGAUGCCAAGAAAGCCAAGGAGAGAAAAAAUCAGCAAACAAGAGGUAAUAAUUCUCCCUUUUUUUUUAUAUAUUUUUAUGGGGUUAGAAUUACAUAAAUAUUUAUUUUUGUUUCUCAUUUGUUUUGGUGGAAGAGGAGGGGUGAAUGGGGGAAUUUCAACAUCAUACCAGACAAUACUCCUACCAUUGACACCUGUGAUCAUAAUAGCAAUAAAACUCAAGCACAAGUUGAUGCCUAUUCUUACAUUCUAAAUUCCUUAUCCCAAAUCAGCAUAGGUGCAUCACAUGUCCUGUUCUAAGUGUGACCAUAGCUGGCAUGAGGGAACUGUGAAGUAUAGGGUAGUGGUUCGUGAGAUGGACAGUACAUGUGAUGCACCUUUGCUGAUUUGGGAUAAGGAAUGCAAUGAUUUGGUUGGUGUUUUAGCUUCAUCUCUUAGAGAGAAGUAUGCUGAGGAUUUCAAUGAAGAAAUAAAGAGCAGAUGAACAUUCUGCUCUCCGAAUUUGUGGUGUUAGGGGUGUGUAAGGAUGCAGAUGUUGUUUCAAAAUAUUGUGGGAAUAUGGGACCUGAAGUGCAUAUCACAGAUCAAAACCAGGAGGAUUGGUUUGGCUGACUUUGAAAUGGUUGGGUUUGAUGAGGUGGUUUAUCUGGAAGUGUUGGGAGCACACUAAAGAGGUCAGUAAUGGAUGAGUUCAAUCAGUCUGAAGAUCCUAAAAGAAUUAAGACUUCAGUGAUCAAGUUAGAAAAAAUAUGAUGCUAGCUCUAAUUCUAUGUUAUCUUACUCUAAUAUAACUAGACUUUGUUCUAUGUACAAAGUAUGUAUUCUGUUUUGGGACUUUAUGGACAAUAUAUAUGAAUAUUGUCUUUUGCUA